AGAGUUUGAUCCUGGCUCAGAAUCAACGCUGGCGGCGUGCCUCAGACAUGCAAGUCGAACGAUUAAACUUUCCUUCGGGAAAGAUAUAAAGUGGCGCACGGGUGAGUAACACGUAAGUAAUCUACCUUCGAGUGGGGAAUAACAUCGGGAAACCGAUGCUAAUACCGCAUAACGCAGCGGCAUCGCAAGAUGACAGUUGUUAAAGGAGCAAUCCGCUUGAAGAGGAGCUUGCGGCAGAUUAGCUAGUUGGUAAGGUAAUGGCUUACCAAGGCUUCGAUCUGUAUCCGGUCUAAGAGGACGGUCGGACACACUGACACUGAAUAACGGGUCAGACUCCUACGGGAGGCAGCAGUCGGGAAUUUUGGGCAAUGGGCGAAAGCCUGACCCAGCAACGCCGCGUGAAGGAUGAAGUAUUUCGGUAUGUAAACUUCGAAAGAAUGGGAAGAAUCAAUGACGUACCAUUAUA
This 466-nucleotide ribosomal RNA is filed under the name uncultured bacterium. RNAcentral describes it as "bacterial SSU rRNA". It matches the Rfam family "Bacterial small subunit ribosomal RNA", at positions 8 to 485 of the family's 1533-position model. The record is from RNAcentral.